AGUGGAUGGGGAGCAACCUAGUUGUGCGUGUGUAAAGGUAGUGCCAAGAAAAGCGAUGAUCAUGUUGAAAAUCAAUUCCCGGUACCCGAAACCGACACAGGUGGGCAAGUAGAGAAUACUAAGGGGCGCGAGGUAACUCUCUCCAAGGAACUCGGCAAAAUGACCCCGUAACUUAGGGAGAAGGGGUGCCACCGAGAGGUGGUCGCAGUGAAGAGGCCCAGGCGACUGUUUAGCAAAAACAUAGGUCUCUGCAAACUCGAAAGAGGAGGUAUAGGGGCUGACGCCUGCCCAGUGCCGGAAGGUUAAAGAAGUUGGUCAGUUUUAGGAUGAAGCUAGCGACUGAAGCCCCGGUGAACGGCGGCCGUAACUAUAACGGUCCUAAGGUAGCGAAAUUCCUUGUCGGGUAAGUUCCGACCCGCACGAAAGGCGUAACGAUCUGGGCGCUGUCUCGGAGAGAGGCUCGGCGAAAUAGGAUUGUCUGUGAAGAUACGGACUACCUGCAUUUGGACAGAAAGACCCUAUGAAGCUUUACUAUAGCUUGGAAUUGUGUUCGGGCUUCCUGUGCGCAGGAUAGGUGGGAGGCGUAGAAGGUAUUCUUGUGGGGAUACUGGAGCCAACGGUGAGAUACCACUCUCAGGAGGCUAGAAUUCUAACUUAAUUAAGGACAGUUUCAGGUGGGUAGUUUGACUGGGGCGGUCGCCUCCAAGAAGGUAACGGAGGCGUACAAAGGUUCCCUCAGACUGGUUGGAAAUCAGUCGAAGAGUGCAAAGGCAGAAGGGAGCUUGACUGCGAGAAGUACAGUUCGAGCAGGGUGGAAACACGGUCUUAGUGAUCCGACGGUGCUGUGUGGAAGGGCCGUCGCUCAACGGAUAAAAGUUACUCUAGGAUAACAGGCUGAUCUCCCCCAAGAGUUCACAUCGACGGGGAGGUUUGGCACCUCGAUGUCGGCUCAUCGCAACCUGGGGCGGAAGUACGUCCCAAGGGUUGGGCUGUUCGCCCAUUAAAGCGGUACGUGAGCUGGGUUCAGAACGUCGUGAGACAGUUCGGUCCAUAUCCGAUGUAGGCGUGAGAAUAUUGAGAGGAGCCUUCCUUAGUACAAGAGGGCCGGGAAGGACGCACCGCUGGUGUACCUGUUAUGAUGCCAAUUGUAAACGCAGGGUAGCCAAGUGCGGAGAGGAUAACCGCUGAAAGCAUCUAAGUGGGAAGCCCACCUCAAGAUGAGUAUUCUGGUGUAAGGUCACGGGAAGACGACCCGUAAAUAGGCACGAGGUGGAAGUGCAGAGAUGUAUGAAGCCGAAGUGUACUAAUAGACCGUCGGCUUGACC
This 1325-nucleotide ribosomal RNA is filed under the name metagenome. RNAcentral describes it as "bacterial LSU rRNA". It matches the Rfam family "Bacterial large subunit ribosomal RNA", at positions 1561 to 2925 of the family's 2925-position model. The record is from RNAcentral.